This 254-nucleotide ribosomal RNA is filed under the name uncultured bacterium. RNAcentral's name for it is "partial 16S ribosomal RNA". It matches the Rfam family "Bacterial small subunit ribosomal RNA", at positions 524 to 777 of the family's 1533-position model. The record is from RNAcentral.
UACGGGGGGGGCAAGCGUUGUUCGGAAUUACUGGGCGUAAAGGGCUCGUAGGCGGCCAACUAAGUCAGACGUGAAAUCCCCAGGCUCAACCUGGGAACUGCGUCUGAUACUGGAUGGCUUGAAUUCGGGAGAGGGAUGCAGAAUUCCAGGUGUAGCGGUGAAAUGCGUAGAUAUCUGGAGGAAUACCGGUGGCGAAGGCGGCAUCCUGGACCGACAUUGACGCUGAUGAGCGAAAGCUAGGGGAGCAAACGGGG